RNAcentral lists this ribosomal RNA (797 nucleotides) under Escherichia coli. RNAcentral describes it as "partial 23S ribosomal RNA". It matches the Rfam family "Bacterial large subunit ribosomal RNA", at positions 392 to 1191 of the family's 2925-position model. Lineage: Bacteria; Pseudomonadati; Pseudomonadota; Gammaproteobacteria; Enterobacterales; Enterobacteriaceae. The record is from RNAcentral.
ACAUGCUGUGAGCUCGAUGAGUAGGGCGGGACACGUGGUAUCCUGUCUGAAUAUGGGGGGACCAUCCUCCAAGGCUAAAUACUCCUGACUGACCGAUAGUGAACCAGUACCGUGAGGGAAAGGCGAAAAGAACCCCGGCGAGGGGAGUGAAAAAGAACCUGAAACCGUGUACGUACAAGCAGUGGGAGCCUCUUUAUGGGGUGACUGCGUACCUUUUGUAUAAUGGGUCAGCGACUUAUAUUCUGUAGCAAGGUUAACCGAAUAGGGGAGCCGAAGGGAAACCGAGUCUUAACUGGGCGUUAAGUUGCAGGGUAUAGACCCGAAACCCGGUGAUCUAGCCAUGGGCAGGUUGAAGGUUGGGUAACACUAACUGGAGGACCGAACCGACUAAUGUUGAAAAAUUAGCGGAUGACUUGUGGCUGGGGGUGAAAGGCCAAUCAAACCGGGAGAUAGCUGGUUCUCCCCGAAAGCUAUUUAGGUAGCGCCUCGUGAAUUCAUCUCCGGGGGUAGAGCACUGUUUCGGCAAGGGGGUCAUCCCGACUUACCAACCCGAUGCAAACUGCGAAUACCGGAGAAUGUUAUCACGGGAGACACACGGCGGGUGCUAACGUCCGUCGUGAAGAGGGAAACAACCCAGACCGCCAGCUAAGGUCCCAAAGUCAUGGUUAAGUGGGAAACGAUGUGGGAAGGCCCAGACAGCCAGGAUGUUGGCUUAGAAGCAGCCAUCAUUUAAAGAAAGCGUAAUAGCUCACUGGUCGAGUCGGCCUGCGCGGAAGAUGUAACGGGGCUAAACCAUG